UUCUGGCUCAGGAUGAACGCUGGCGGCGUGCCUAACACAUGCAAGUCGAACGAAGCACUUAGACAGAACCUUCGGGUGACGUAUUGGUGACUGAGUGGCGGACGGGUGAGUAACGCGUGGGUAACCUGCCCUGUACAGGGGGAUAACAGUUAGAAAUGACUGCUAAUACCGCAUAAGCGCACGAUGGUAGCAUUACCAGGUGUGAAAAACUCCGGUGGUACAGGAUGGGCCCGCGUCUGAUUAGCUAGUUGGCGGGGUAAGAGCCCACCAAGGCGACGAUCAGUAGCCGGUCUGAGAGGAUGAACGGCCACAUUGGAACUGAGACACGGUCCAAACUCCUACGGGAGGCAGCAGUGGGGAAUAUUGCACAAUGGGGGGAACCCUGAUGCAGCAAACCGCCGCGUGAGUGACGAAGUAUUUCGGUAUGUAAAGCUCUAUCAGCAGGGAAGAUAAUGACGGUACCUGACUAAGAAGCUCCGGCUAAAUACGUGCCAGCCGCUGC
RNAcentral lists this ribosomal RNA (502 nucleotides) under uncultured bacterium. RNAcentral describes it as "bacterial SSU rRNA". It matches the Rfam family "Bacterial small subunit ribosomal RNA", at positions 17 to 518 of the family's 1533-position model. The record is from RNAcentral.